GAUGAACGCUGGCGGCGUGCCUAAUACAUGCAAGUCGAGCGAACGGACGAGAAGCUUGCUUCUCUGAUGUUAGCGGCGGACGGGUGAGUAACACGUGGAUAACCUACCUAUAAGACUGGGAUAACUUCGGGAAGUCGGAGCUAAUACCGGAUAAUAUUUUGAACCGCAUGGUUCAAAAGUGAAAGACGGUCUUGCUGUCACUUAUAGAUGGAUCCGCGCUGCAUUAGCUAGUUGGUAAGGUAACGGCUUACCAAGGCAACGAUGCAUAGCCGACCUGAGAGGGUGAUCGGCCACACUGGAACUGAGACACGGUCCAGACUCCUACGGGAGGCAGCAGUAGGGAAUCUUCCGCAAUGGGCGAAAGCCUGACGGAGCAACGCCGCGUGAGUGAUGAAGGUCUUCGGAUCGUAAAACUCUGUUAUUAGGGAAGAACAUAUGUGUAAGUAACUGUGCACAUCUUGACGGUACCUAAUCAGAAAGCCACGGCUAACUACGUG
Molecule: ribosomal RNA, 497 nt
Filed under: uncultured bacterium
Lineage: Bacteria
Description: partial 16S ribosomal RNA
Rfam family: Bacterial small subunit ribosomal RNA
Source: RNAcentral